Molecule: non-coding RNA, 45 nt
Filed under: Oxyrrhis marina
Lineage: Eukaryota; Dinophyceae; Oxyrrhinales; Oxyrrhinaceae
Source: RNAcentral
AGCGAAAAAAAAAAAAAAAAAAAAAAAAAAAAAAAAAAAAAAAAU